CCUACGGGUGGCAGCAGUCGAGAAUCAUUCACAAUGGGGGAAACCCUGAUGGUGCGACGCCGCGUGGGGGAAUGAAGGUCUUCGGAUUGUAAACCCCUGUCAUGUGGGAGCAAAUUAAAAAGAUAGUACCACAAGAGGAAGAGACGGCUAACUCUGUGCCAGCAGCCGCGGUAAUACAGAGGUCUCAAGCGUUGUUCGGAAUCACUGGGCGUAAGGCGUGCGUAGGCUGUUUCGUAAGUCGUGUGUGAAAGGCGCGGGCUCAACCCGCGGACUGCACAUGAUACUGCGAGACUAGAGUAAUGGAGGGGGAACCGGAAUUCGCGGUGUAGCAGUGAAAUGCGUAGAUAUCGAGAGGAACACUCGUGGCGAAGGCGGGUUCCUGGACAUUAACUGACGCUGAGGCACGAAGGCCAGGGGAGCGAAAGGGAUUAGAUACCCCAGUAGUC
This 446-nucleotide ribosomal RNA is filed under the name uncultured bacterium. RNAcentral describes it as "partial 16S ribosomal RNA". It matches the Rfam family "Bacterial small subunit ribosomal RNA", at positions 338 to 795 of the family's 1533-position model. The record is from RNAcentral.